AACGAACGCUGGCGGCAUGCCUAACACAUGCCAGUCGAACGAGACCUUCGGGUCUAGUGGCGCACGGGUGCGUAACGCGUGGGAACCUGCCCUUAGGUUCGGAAUAACUCCCCGAAAGGGGUGCUAAUACCGGAUAAUGUCUUCGGACCAAAGAUUUAUCGCCUUUGGAUGGGCCCGCGUUGGAUUAGCUAGUUGGUAGGGUAAAAGCCUACCAAGGCGACGAUCCAUAGCUGGUCUGAGAGGAUGAUCAGCCACACUGGGACUGAGACACGGCCCAGACUCCUACGGGAGGCAGCAGUGGGGAAUAAUGGACAAUGGGCGAAAGCCUGAUCCAGCAAUGCCGCGUGAGUGAUGAAGGCCUUAGGGUUGUAAAGCUCUUUUACCCGGGAUGAUAAUGACAGUACCGGGAGAAUAAGCUCCGGCUAACUCCGUG
Molecule: ribosomal RNA, 433 nt
Filed under: uncultured bacterium
Lineage: Bacteria
Description: partial 16S ribosomal RNA
Rfam family: Bacterial small subunit ribosomal RNA
Source: RNAcentral